UUUGUUCUCGGUCCCCUGGCUGCCAUCUCGGGAUUCUGCUCAAGCCCCAGGAGCCUCACCCAGAGGCCGCGGGCCCCUCCUCAGCUCUGAGCUGGACCCAGGGAUGUAAACCCCAUCGCCUGUGCUGGCGGAGUUGCUUCUUGGCUUCCUCGAACCACUGGGGACCUUGCCUGUGGACACUCGGAGAUUACAAUGUGGAUACACGUGGCUCCAGACACUUGGUGGAAGAGAGGUGAGAAAAAC
Molecule: non-coding RNA, 243 nt
Organism: Vicugna pacos (alpaca)
Lineage: Eukaryota; Metazoa; Chordata; Mammalia; Artiodactyla; Camelidae
Source: RefSeq, a predicted model, not a curated record